Passer domesticus (house sparrow) is the source of this 552-nucleotide long non-coding RNA. RefSeq lists it as uncharacterized. Lineage: Eukaryota; Metazoa; Chordata; Aves; Passeriformes; Passeridae. The record is from RefSeq and is a predicted model, not a curated record. The transcript is spliced from 2 exons.
CCUUCAUGUAGUUCCAACCCUCAUGCCAAGGUAUCCCUUGGUCAAGGGAUACGUUCCACUUGACCAUGGCCCAAAGGCCCGUCCAACCCAGCCUUGAACACUUGCAGGAAUGGGGCGCCUACAGCUUCUCUGGACAAACUGCACCUGGUGCAACAGGAAGCACUGCUGUUUCCACUGUCACCUCAUGUUGGGCAAAAAAGUCAUCACAGGAAAAAGGAUAGAUCAGCAGGGCCAGGUGUUUUCCAUGACGUAUACUCAGUUCAUAGAAUCAUGGAAUCAUAGAAUGGUUUGUGUUGGAAGGAACGUUUGAGAUCAUUUUGUUCCAGCCCUCUGCCAUAGACAAGGACAUGUUCCACUAGACCAGGUUGCUCAAAGCCCCAUCCAGCCUGGCCUUGAACACUUCCAGAGAUGGACUAUCCACAGCUUCUAGUGGCAACCUGUGCCGAAGCCUCACCAUUCUCACCCUAAACUUAGUGUAGAACAGACCCUGUGCCAGUUCCUCUAAAUGAUCUUUAGAAUUAUGGGAUCAUUAAAUUUGGAAAAGCCCUCCAA